This is a long non-coding RNA of Coregonus clupeaformis (lake whitefish), 272 nucleotides long. RefSeq lists it as uncharacterized. The transcript is spliced from 3 exons. The record is from RefSeq and is a predicted model, not a curated record. NCBI's taxonomy places the organism in Eukaryota, Metazoa, Chordata, Actinopteri, Salmoniformes, Salmonidae.
GAUAGCUGAGAGACAGAGGUCAAUCUUAAAAGGAAGACUGCCUUACCUGCAGGGGAAAGGGAUGGAUGACAUUGAGGUCAAUCCUGAAGAUGAAGUAGAAAUGAGUGAUGAUGAUUCCAGCGAAGAAACCAUUGCUGACCUACAUCAAUGCAAAGGCUCAACAACAGAGACUUCUAGGGACCAGACACUUCUGAGGCAAACACCAGAGUCAACCACCCUGGACAACAUGGAGGGCACUUCUGAGUCAACCACCUGGACAACAUGGAGGGCAC